GUUCAUGUAGCUUAAUUAAUAAAGCAAAGCACUGAAAAUGCUUAGAUGAGUUAUUAUGACUCCAUAAACA
Molecule: transfer RNA, 70 nt
Filed under: Sorex excelsus (lofty shrew)
Lineage: Eukaryota; Metazoa; Chordata; Mammalia; Eulipotyphla; Soricidae
Also listed under: 1 other name
Description: tRNA-Phe
Rfam family: tRNA
About the family: Transfer RNA (tRNA) molecules are approximately 80 nucleotides in length. Their secondary structure includes four short double-helical elements and three loops (D, anti-codon, and T loops).
Source: RNAcentral